Long non-coding RNA from Cydia fagiglandana, 146 nucleotides. RefSeq lists it as uncharacterized. The transcript has 2 exons. The record is from RefSeq and is a predicted model, not a curated record. Lineage: Eukaryota; Metazoa; Arthropoda; Insecta; Lepidoptera; Tortricidae.
CUACUUUUUAGGGUUCCGUAGUCAACUAGGAACCCUUAUAGUUUCACCAUAUCCGUCUGUCCGAGGCUUUGCUCCGUGAUCUAUAGUGCUAGAAAGCUGCAGUUUGGCAUGGAUAUAUAAAUCAAUAAAACCGACAAAGUAGUACA